RNAcentral lists this ribosomal RNA (102 nucleotides) under uncultured Gammaproteobacteria bacterium. Its description in RNAcentral is "partial 16S ribosomal RNA". It matches the Rfam family "Bacterial small subunit ribosomal RNA", at positions 337 to 438 of the family's 1533-position model. Lineage: Bacteria; Pseudomonadati; Pseudomonadota; Gammaproteobacteria. The record is from RNAcentral.
UCCUACGGGAGGCAGCAGUGGGGAAUAUUGGACAAUGGGGGCAACCCUGAUCCAGCCAUGCCGCGUGUGUGAAGAAGGCCUUCGGGUUGUAAAGCACUUUCA